CCCCAAACCUCAACCAUAUAUUUCCAUCAACUUACAAGCCACAAGCUUCAUAAUCUUACACACAUGACAAGAAAGAUAUCAUAAUAAAAUAUCUUACUCUGAAGUAAAAAUAAAAUACAACACAACAUAAGUACUCUCACGUUUAAGAAAGAUGAAGAUGAAUGAAUGUGCGUGCUUUCAAUAAAUUCCUCAGAUCAUGAAUCCCACUACAACAGAAGCUUUUAACACGAUCCCUUAUCCUGCUCAUACCUAAAGACCCUAGCGUGCAAUGCUACUUAUUCCAGUAUAAAAUAUUAUUGAACAUCCAGUUAAUACUACAAGGUCGGCAAGGACUAAGAUCACUUGUCUCGAA
This 352-nucleotide long non-coding RNA is filed under the name Lupinus angustifolius (narrow-leaved blue lupine). RNAcentral's name for it is "long non-coding RNA (LANG_LNC001608)". The record is from RNAcentral. Lineage: Eukaryota; Viridiplantae; Streptophyta; Magnoliopsida; Fabales; Fabaceae.